Molecule: long non-coding RNA, 1924 nt
Organism: Rhipicephalus sanguineus (brown dog tick)
Lineage: Eukaryota; Metazoa; Arthropoda; Arachnida; Ixodida; Ixodidae
Exons: 4
Source: RefSeq, a predicted model, not a curated record
UGGCGUAUUAUCAUGUUGACUGAGUUAAAGAUAGGUGUGUCUUAUGUAUUAUUUUUCUCCGAGAAAGUCAUAAAGGGCUUCCAAGUCUGCAGUUGGAAAAGAUGGAGACAAAACAAACAGCAGAGAAGGCCAGAGUAUUGCCUGGACAAGGGAAGAUGACAAGGUUCUGUUGCAAGCGUGCCAGCAGCUGGGCACCGAAAAGGGACUGCAGCGAGCGUCACAGACAUUGGGCCGACCUCCCGAGCAGGUGGCCAGCCGCUUUCAAGAAUUGAUCCGCUUGUUUGAGGCAAGCAAGAGCGACGACGAAGCAGAUUCAUGACAGUGCUUGCAAACACAUCCAUUUGUGCACAUAAUUCCAUAGUCAUAUUUUCAUCGCUAUCAUCUCAAGCGUCACUGAAAAGUUUCCACAUAGGGACUCUUAUCAUUACACAUGGAUGGUUUCUCAGUGUACAGCCUACCUGUAUACUGUUCCAAGUUUCUCUAGUCAUUGUCUUUCUUGAUCUGAAAACUGCCCCAUCUUCGGCUCCACAUUAAAAGAUGCUCCUUUAUCCCAAUUCUAAUGUGCCUCAUGUUUUCUGGUGACUGGUCUUAAUAAUAGAUAGCAUGCACUAUGUGCAUUUAAGGAGCUGUUGGUGGCCAUUGUAGUAAAUGUGCUGUGCUUAUACUGUUCAUUCUUUUGCUUAUUUGUGCCUUACCUUUAAAGUCACUGUGUGUUUACAAACGAGUUCCUGUCUCACAGCAGCAAGAACGAUGCAUUUCUGUAACUUGUAUCGUGUCAUUUAGCCAGUUUCGUCACAGAAGGUCUUAGACAAUAUGUGUGCCACCUUUGUUCUUUUACAAAAUGAUCUGCAAGAUAGCAUUGUGUCUGCUGAUAAAAAGAUUCCAAUUUUUUUUUUUAGUGAAAAGCUUGCUCCUCUACAAAACGUUCUAUUAUUCCUGUAUAAGUUAUAAGAUUCACUUAGCCUAACUAUUACUUUUAAAAGACAUUGAUACAGAUGUACUGAAUGCUGUAACUUAAUUAUAUCUGCACUUUAAAAAAUCACGGAUUAAAAAUUUUGUGCUUACCACUGCUCUGUUCUUGCUCAAAUUGGAUGGAUCAUAUCAGUCAGUGUAACACCUGGCGCAGUUGCUUGGUUUUUAAGCAAAAAAUGCCAAGUUGCCUUCCUUGCAGAGAAGCUAACUGCUGCCAAGACAGCUAAAUAAACUUGUGUAGCUGCCCCUCAGCAGUUACAAAGAAGCCAUUCCAGAUGGAACCUUUCAAGUGUUGUAUUGAACAAUUUGGACUAUAUAACCUGAUAUUUCUGCAAAAUGUCAGCAUGAACAACUAAAUUUUUGUUUUUAAGUGAACUAUGUGUGUCCUUGUACUGACACAGUGCUGCAGCACGAACAGCAAGCUUCAGCUAAGCUUUCACAAAGAAGCACUACUUGUGGGUUGAAGGCCCACACAGUUGUCAUUGAAGGCGGUGCAGUGUGUUCUUGCUUUCUGAGUUGUGUUGCUUGUGCGAUCAAGAAGCGUGUUUACUAACUGCCACUCGACUUCAAAGUUGUCGUCACUAACUUAGAAUGGCACUUGUAGCUGUAAGGAUGUUCACUCGCAAUCUCAAUGGCCAGUGACGUGAAUUCAGGUUCAUUACAAAUAAUAUGCAACUGCUGAAGCGUUUAGUGUCCACAGAUGCCCAUUACUGACUAGCUUAUAGUGUGCACCACUUGUCCUUGAAGAACAAGCCAGCUAAACCAAGCUCCUAUCAGUGGGGCUCUAACUCCCUUUGUUCCCGCUUUUCGUUCAGCUGUCAUCGUGGCUACGAACCAGCCAGCUCAGUUGAUUACUAUUCUGUAAAUAUCAAUUCUACGUAAGCACUUCUUACAUUUGCUAUUUGGAAUGCAAGCAUUGCGAGUUUUGCAAAGCAGAUGUCACACUACAUGC